Esox lucius (northern pike) is the source of this 1140-nucleotide long non-coding RNA. The record is from Ensembl. NCBI's taxonomy places the organism in Eukaryota, Metazoa, Chordata, Actinopteri, Esociformes, Esocidae.
GCUGAAGGUAUCCCCAGUGGGAAUUGAACCCCAGACAUUUGCGUAAGAAACCUGUUGUGUCUACCAUUAGACAAAGAGGAUCUGCUGAAUAUAUAAGGGAAAACAAAGUGCUUAUAAUGGGCAGGGUUUAAAUGGGCAAUGCUAUGUACUGUAACUGUUAAGACAAAUUAAAUUACAUUUCUGUCACAUUCAUCCUUUGGAGCAUCCCUCACAGCUGGGAGACCUGGCACUGGGCACCAUCCUUGUACUUGGGAAUUUAAUCCCAAUCUACAGCUUGAGAGUCUCUGCAUUUACCUACAAACCUACCUGGAAUACCCUAGACCACAGUCCCCAGAGUGGCUUCUCAAGCACUGCACAUUUAACAGCUAGAACAUGAUAUUAAAUAACUUCUGACCUACUCUUUAGAUUGUUAGACAUUCAGUAAUUCUUUGUAAUUGGUAUCAAACUUAUGGUGGACUUGCAGUUUUACAAUGUAUUCCACAAAUCAUGCAGACAGAUAUGCAGAACUAGGGAGUGUUCAGCAGAAUAGGCAUGUCAUGGAUUAAAGACAACAUAUCUUGAGUAAUUAUUGCACGACCAUAUGAGAUCAAUCUGGAAUAUACUGCUCCGGGGAAAAAUUAAGAGACCACUGCACCUUUUUCUUUCCUGUUCCUCACUCAAGCCCCUGGGUGCCAUUAGGGUGAAGGGAGACAAAGAAGUGAGGUUCAGGCUGUCAGCAGGGGUUUAUUUUAAAAUAAACCAGACACAAAUGAAGUAAUCGAAGUACCUGCCCAUCCUGAAAUAUUAAUUGUGAACAAAGUCCAUGUUCCGUUCACUGCGUAGGUGAUCAGUUUUAAAAGAUGUGGAAAACUGAUUUAUUUUACUCACCAUGAUACACUCCUGUUUAGAUUAGAUUCAACUUUAUAGUCACUUGAAGAGAACGAGUACACUGCAAUGAAAUGUAGUUAGCAUCUAACCAGAAGUGCAAAUAGAAGAGGGCAGGACAUUUACAAGUAUUAAGUAUAAUGUAUGUUACAAGUGGAAUGUAAAUGUGCAAUCAAGGCAAAUACAGUGCAAAAUGGCAAUUCUAAAUGAGCAAUGAAGUCAAAUACGGGAGGGCAGAAAAUGUACGAGAGAAUUUACAUGAAUAGUAGAGCGAUG